CGCGCGCCCGUGGAGCGCUGCCUGUGCGUUUCCGUGUGGGGAGCCCUCUGUGCGGUCCCCGCGGGGAGCGGCGGGGGCUGGCUGAGGCGCCCAGCCCUCGGGGCGAGGCGGGACGGGCCGGGCCUCGUAGCGGGGGCGGCCCCGCGUGGCCGUGGCCGUGGCCGUGGCCCCCGAAGCAGCGCGGCCCGCUGGUUUGCAGUGCGCGUCCGUGCGUCUGUCCGUACGAGCUCUCUUCUCCCGCGCCCUGGGCGGUGUGUUCGUCGUGCUUUCUCUCAGGCGACGUUUGCACGGCAUCGGGGAGUUGGGACGUGUAAACCCAAUUUUACGGCUGCAUAGGUUCUUUUUCGCAAAGCCUUUUGAAACAGAUGAUCUCACUGUGGACUACCAAAAAACUGCUACCUGUAAGAAAAAGAUUUGAGUUGACGGUCCAGGGAGGUGAGUCCACAUGAUGGUGACUGGUUUCUGGAGAAACAAAUGAGGAAAGAAGAGCAGAGCACAUCUAGACCACACUAACACAAAGGCAGCACGGAGGUACCAGAAGGGAGUUUCCAGUGUUCGAGGUGCCUCUGCAAACUGCUGUCUGCCCCUUAAUGCUACUUUUCAUUUACGUGUGGCUUAGCUUAACUCAGCCCUAGCUACGCACCGCAUUUAGACAGCUAGUUAGUUGUACUGCUGUCAACAUCUGCCUUCUGGUCACGAUGUGCUGCGCACGAGUCAUCUGUUCCCAGGGAAUGAUUGGUUUUCCACUGAAACACCACCACUUGGAUACUCCUUAUUACUUUACCUUCCCGAAGAGGGGUAGGAUGUCAGCUUACACGCUGCCUUUUUCAUACAAAUAGUAAAAAAGCUAAGCUGUGGAGUAAGCACAAUAUUGCUGAGAUUCUUUUGAAGAAAAGUGCAAUAACAGCAAAGUGGGAUUCAUUUAGCGAAUACUGUAAUAUUGCAUCUCCUUCAUUUCUGUGUAUGUGAAAAGAAAGAUGGAGCAUUACUGUCAGGGAGCCCACUGCCUUACGGUAUCAUCAAUUAAUUUAAAGUUACUGUAAUUCGAGAGCUUUUUUUGCAAAAUUGAAACUGUUACAUUUAACUAGAAAAAAAAGGACCUAUUAGCAGAGGUUAUUUGAUUAUAUAUCACAAUAUUAUCUUUAUCAUUGUCUUCAACUUAUUGAGUAAAACAUUUAAGAGGCAAUUUAGAAACACCACCAUGUUUUUCUUCAUUAAUUCAAGACACCAGAGUACACUGCAUGCCCUUUCCCACCUGCAUGCAGAUAAAAUAUUUAACUCCUGUCAUGCAGGUGAAGUGUCUAUGGUUUUUUAUUCCACAAGACAGUAAUUUUAAUGGAAGAAGGUUUUUUGCAUUCCAAAGGAUGUUUUUACAGACAGCAAGGAAAGGAUGGGAGACCACAUUCUAACUUGGACGCCACACUUAGCGAAGUGCAUAAUCCUAAAAUAAUUAUGCUUUUCCAAUAUUUUAGUAUGCUUAUAAUUGAAAGCACAGGUGACGCUACAAGACGGUUCCACACCUCAAUUCAGAAGUGGCAACAGUUUUAGUAGGUCAGAGUAAAAUGUGUUUUUCUCUAAGUAUUUGCUGGUAAUACUGUGAGAUGACUCACGUUUGACCAACCAUUUUGCAUUAAUGUUCAUACAGAUUCUCUUACUUAGUGUAGCUUCGACUCUUUUUUCCUUGAAUCCUUUGCCAUAUAUGUUCAAGUCCCUGAGAUCUAAUUGACCUGCUUUGAGAAAUAAGUUGGACUAGAGACACUGAGAAAAGUGCCUAACAACUAAAUUACUUGAUGAUGCUAUGGGUGAGUUAAUCUGUUUUUGGGAAGGGAAACGAAUGUUAUUUCUUUCAAGUAAGUUUUUUAAGACAGUGGGAAUGCAUGGAGGUUAGUAUUACUUUUUAGUUUAGCACAGAUGCUUUGUGGAUCCUUCCAUAAAUAACAUUCAGGCCGGUAUUUAUUUUAAAGUAUUUUUCCAAUUUGCAUUGCGCUUCUUCAUACUUGCUUCAAAUUCAUGUUUCUUGGAAAGAUACCUCCUGUUAGCUACGCUGACUAACAGACACCGAGUGCCCAUGUGUAGGGCUGACCAACAGUUCCCACAUGGAACGUAAAAGGUACCAGCUGGCGUGAAGAAUGAGCCAAGCUGUAUGAACCACGUUUUAUCCAACUGCACCAAGCCUUCUUACGGGUCACUCCCAAUUUCUGUGCAUUCCCCUUUCAUGGAAAAGAAUCUGUGAAGUCAGGUGCAUCCUCAUUCACUUCAGUCUCUAGAGUCAGUUGCCCCAGGAAAUAAAGAGGAGGCCAAAAGAGACACUCAUGCACGAUGUUUUCAGCUAUUUUCGUUACCCUUAAUACCCAAACAAGAUAAAUAAACAAGGUAUUUACUGCAUUUGACAA
Tyto alba (common barn owl) is the source of this 2393-nucleotide long non-coding RNA. RefSeq lists it as uncharacterized. The transcript has 4 exons. The record is from RefSeq and is a predicted model, not a curated record. NCBI's taxonomy places the organism in Eukaryota, Metazoa, Chordata, Aves, Strigiformes, Tytonidae.